AUUACAGAAUUUGAACAGAUGUUUAUCUAAAACAUUAUUUAUGAACUAUGUUCCAAGAUAAACAAUUGUACUUUUUAUAACUAUCAGAUAUCCAUAACUUUGUCCAUUAUGAAGUGUGAUCUUUUAUUUUCAAGAGAAGAAAUUGUGUUCCAAUGUAUACGAUUGUUGUUUUCUAUUGUAUCAGUCUGUGGACUCUUAUAAUAUCUUAUCCUCUUGGCUUAUUUAAUUAAAUAAUAAAUACUCACAAUUUUAUCUAUUACGAGGUCCGAAGAAAACAACACAGAAGAUGACAGAAUUGAUUUGUUGAUCCUUAGAUAUAUGAUAUUGUUCUCAAACAUGAAAGCGAACGUCGCAAGUCUGAAUUGUUCAACAUGGAGUCAAUUGUUCAAAUAUCCUUCUACUCACUAUUUAAGGAUGCAAGAUUUGCAACUUUUUCAAGGCAUUAUAAAGACCAAUUCGCAUCAAAACAUCAAGAAAUAAACCAACAUCUUUUAUCCAUCUAAAUUACCCUGAAGACUCGCCAGAAAAAGCUUAAAUGACUAUAGUGAUUGCACGAGGAAGAGGUUCAAGUUGAUUCUAGCUGUGACGAGUAGAAGAAACGUGGAAUGAGGCGAAAAGAGGAACAGGAAGGCUUCA
This is a long non-coding RNA of Bombus pyrosoma, 636 nucleotides long. RefSeq lists it as uncharacterized. NCBI's taxonomy places the organism in Eukaryota, Metazoa, Arthropoda, Insecta, Hymenoptera, Apidae. The record is from RefSeq and is a predicted model, not a curated record. The transcript is spliced from 3 exons.